AUUGAACGCUGGCGGCAUGCCUUACACAUGCAAGUCGAACGGUAACAGGUCUUCGGAUGCUGACGAGUGGGGAACGGGUGAGUAAUACAUCGGAACGUGCCUAGUAGUGGGGGAUAACUACUCGAAAGAGUGGCUAAUACCGCAUGAGAUCUACGGAUGAAAGCAGGGGACCGCAAGACCUUGCGCUACUAGAGUGGCCGAUGGCAGAUUAGGUAGUUGGUGGGAUAAAAGCUUACCAAGCCGACGAUCUGUAGCUGGUCUGAGAGGACGAUCAGCCACACUGGGACUGAGACACGGCCCAGACUCCUACGGGAGGCAGCAGUGGGGAAUUUUGGACAAUGGGCGAAAGCCUGAUCCAGCAAUGCCGCGUGCAGGAUGAAGGCCUUCGGGUUGUAAACUGCUUUUGUACGGAACGAAAAGCCCCGGGUUAAUACCCUGGGGUCAUGACGGUACCGUAAGAAUAAGCACCGGCUAACUACGUGCCAGCCGCCGCCGUAA
This 498-nucleotide ribosomal RNA is filed under the name uncultured bacterium. RNAcentral's name for it is "partial 16S ribosomal RNA". It matches the Rfam family "Bacterial small subunit ribosomal RNA", at positions 30 to 523 of the family's 1533-position model. The record is from RNAcentral.